GCCGAAGUGGCGGAACUGGUAGACGCGACGGACUCAAAAUCCGUUUCUGGAAACAGAGUGGGGGUUCGAUUCCCCCCUUCGGCA
Molecule: transfer RNA, 84 nt
Filed under: Oleiagrimonas soli
Lineage: Bacteria; Pseudomonadati; Pseudomonadota; Gammaproteobacteria; Lysobacterales; Rhodanobacteraceae
Rfam family: tRNA
About the family: Transfer RNA (tRNA) molecules are approximately 80 nucleotides in length. Their secondary structure includes four short double-helical elements and three loops (D, anti-codon, and T loops). Further hydrogen bonds mediate the characteristic L-shaped molecular structure. tRNAs have two regions of fundamental functional importance: the anti-codon, which is responsible for specific mRNA codon recognition, and the 3' end, to which the tRNAs corresponding amino acid is attached (by aminoacyl-tRNA synthetases). tRNAs cope with the degeneracy of the genetic code in two manners: having more than one tRNA (with a specific anti-codon) for a particular amino acid; and 'wobble' base-pairing, i.e. permitting non-standard base-pairing at the 3rd anti-codon position.
Source: Rfam by way of RNAcentral